GGGGAGGUCUGCUCAGCUUUGGGGCACAGAAGGCAAGAUCUGUGAAGACCUCCAUCAUGGCUUGGUCCCCUGUACUCCUCACCCUCCUCAUUCAGUGCACAGGAUCCUGGGCUGUGCUGACUCAGCCGCCCUCUGUGUCUGGGGCUCUGGGUGAGAGUGUCACCAUCUCCUGCACUGGAAUCCCUACCAGCAUGGAUUAUGAUGAAGAGGAAUACACAUAUUAUGUGAGCUGGUACCAACAGCUCCCAGGAAAGGUACCCAUUCUCCUCAUCUAUGAAGAUAAUAACAGAAAUCCUGGAGUCCCUGAUCGAUUCUCUGGUUCCAAGUCAGGCAGCUCAGCCUCCCUGACCAUCAGUGGCCUUCAGGCUGAAGAUGAGGCUGAUUAUUACUGCCAGUCCACUGACAGUAGCUUCAGUGCUCACACAGUGUGUGGGGCCUUUGGUGAAGCGAGACAAAAAACUGCUGUCCCCUCUGCAAUGCAGUUAUCUGUGCAGCCUUUACUUCUUGGCUAUCCAUACCAGGAGCUGCUCACCAUGCCUGGACAACAGCCUCAAGCCGUGCGUCACUGCAUGCUGCCACUCGAGGUCAGAGUCGACCAUUUCUGA
Molecule: non-coding RNA, 605 nt
Organism: Lontra canadensis (Northern American river otter)
Lineage: Eukaryota; Metazoa; Chordata; Mammalia; Carnivora; Mustelidae
Source: the annotation of a RefSeq genome assembly